This 137-nucleotide ribosomal RNA is filed under the name uncultured bacterium. RNAcentral's name for it is "partial 16S ribosomal RNA". It matches the Rfam family "Bacterial small subunit ribosomal RNA", at positions 1396 to 1532 of the family's 1533-position model. The record is from RNAcentral.
GUCACACCAUGGAAUUGGAUUGCACCAGAAGUAGAUAGUCUAACCUUCGGGAGGGCGUUUACCACGGUGUGCUUCAUGACUGGGGUGAAGUCGUAACAAGGUAUCCGUAGGGGAACCUGUGGCUGGAUCACCUCCUU